Pogona vitticeps (central bearded dragon) is the source of this 3715-nucleotide non-coding RNA. The record is from RefSeq and is a predicted model, not a curated record. Lineage: Eukaryota; Metazoa; Chordata; Lepidosauria; Squamata; Agamidae.
UGUGUCCCCUCCACUGGGCCAAAGGACAUUGGUGACUAGAUUACAGUGUACUGUAUGUCGUUCUUUCUUCAUAUAAGUAACAUUUUGUAAAUAAUAAUGGGGUAUACGUUGAGGUUUUGUUUUGGUUUUUCUUUCUUUCUGGUAUUCCAAAGUAGAAAGGAUUUUUUCCAGAACACAAACACUUGACAGUUAUCAAGAUUAAGAAAAUGAAAAUCUAAAGUUCUUGCCAUUUGUUGUUACAUUUACAGUAACUGCCAAUUAUGUGCAUAUCACUUUCCAUUGUAAAAAAAAACCACACACACACACACAAACCGAAAACAGGAUGUUGCCUGAAAGAGCCUUACUUAAUAAAUACCAACAUCUGUAUUAGUGGGUACCUUUGUUAGGUUAACUUAAAGAGUUGGUCUAAUACAGGUACAACACAAAUGUUGAGAAUGUUUCUUCUGGUUAGCAUUUUCUUGUGGUUAGCAAAAUGCUAGUGAGAUAGAGAAAGCUUAUACAAUUUUGAGGGAUGUCAGCAUUUUAAAUGCACUGACCAAAUAACUUUCAAUGGCCUUCAAAAUAAUUUCCUUUGCUAUAGCAUUUACUAUUGUUGCUAAUGUGGUCAUCCAUAUCCUAAGCUACCCAAAUAUUUCUGCGAUAUGCAGAAAACAAAAUUAAUCAAAGGUCAAAGAGAUUUAUGAAAACCAAAACAGAAUAUUUAAAAAACCUGGCUGUCAAGUCUUCACGUGUCUACAAAUGUAUUUUUUUUUCCAAAGGAUGUUUAUCAACUUACUUAAUUUUAUCAAUUUAUUUAGAAAUCAAGCCAUAGGUAAAUGCUUGUAAUGUCCCUUUGGAUUUCAGUGGGCAAGAGCUCUAAAGAUUUAAAUCAGCAUUCUAUAAAUAUUCUGAAUGCCUGGAUUCUAGAUAGUUCUAGAAAUAAUAUGCUUUCAGAGUCAAGCUUACGGCCCUCAAACACAGAAAUUCAUGCUGCCAGUACAGGACACUGUAGUUGAAUAUAUAUAUAUAUGUAUAUGUGUGUGUGUGCGUAAUGUACCUAAGAUGUACUAUUGCCUAAUCAGAUGCUGCAAAAAUAAAUGUGCUUUAAAAAUCAUUGAAAGAAAUCUAUUACAAGGGGUUUUUCCCCCUAGAAUCUACAUGGCCAUUUGAAAGAAUAAUAGCAAAUGUUAACUUGCACAGUUCUUAGCAUGGCCAGCUACGCAAUUGAAAUUAAGGGCAUUAUUACAGUAUUGAAAGAGAAUGUGGUAGUAUUCCUUUAAAACUUUUAAUAAUUUUACUGAGACAUGCUCAGGAGAAUUUCCAGGUGGAUUACUUUAUUAUCCUUCAUUUACUGUACAGGUAAGCAAAUGCUGUCAGUGAUUAAUUAAAUCUCAGAUCUUAAAACAAUGAGAAAUGCUCAGGUACAUUAGUAUGACCAUUUGCAUAUGAGAUGCAUGCACACAUACUAGUGGUUGUGUCUUCACUUAGAAAUUAUCUUCUUUCAGACCUAAGUAUUUUCUUGAAGUGUAAAAGCCCUUUAAUGGUCAGGAACAAAGUGGAUUAUUUCAUGGUAUCUCCUAUAUUUAUUAGUUAUUUUAACUAAAGCGUGGAAGAAUAUACACAUGUGCUUGUAAUAUCCCACAGAAUUCAGUGAAAUUUACUUCUGAAUAGCUAUGCACAGGAUUGCGCUAUUAAUUUUUUUUUUUAUGUCUCCUUAGGAUGUAAACAUUUUACUUCCACUGACCACAGUCAGAGAUAGAGCAGGAUGUCCAUACAUACCAUAAACAGAUGCACAGUUAUUAAUCAGCUAUCACUCAGUAUACAAACAAAAGUACAGUACCUUACCUUUACCAAGUAAGUUCUCUGGACCCAAAGGGAACAAAUCAAAGCCACUCUCUUUCAAUCUUCAAAACUUUAAGUGACUUUGAAACAUGGUACUUUCAAACAUAUAAAUCGUAUUGUUAAUUCUGUACCACCCAUCCACUACCCACCCCAUUUUAGUUUUAGAGAUAUCCACAACAGAAACAUUACAGGGUCAAAUUCAAUGCUACAGAAGUCGACUUCUGCUUUUGCAAUGGGAGUUUUCUUUCUCCUUAUUGAAGUCCGUUGCAUGACCACAAAAUGUGGUCUGGAGGAUUCCCCAGAUAUCUGAAGAAAAUUUGGCCGGGGGCAGCUGCAAAGGGAAAUUUGAUCUGCUUGCUGUUUCUGCUCCACCAGCAGAAGGGCACCACUAGAUACUGUAUAACUGUUUAUACAGAAGUUAAAAAACAAAGGCAAAAUCUCUUUCUCUAUAAAGGGGGUGCCAUGUAAUUAUCUCGGUACAGGAGUUCCAGCAUUUCCAAGCAACAAUCAGUAAGGUGGCAUAAGCGGCUAAAGGAAUAUUGUCAUAUACGUACAUCGGACACCUCUAAAAUGUAGCAGUUUUCAACAGAAUAUGAAUUUAAUCAGCAAAGUACUGUGAAAGUACUAAAGUGGUUAAAUAAAUCGGAACAAUAUAAUACUUGGUACAACUAAAAGUUCUGUAGAAAAGGAAUUUCUUAAAUCGGAUUAUUAUGAACGUUCAUUGAGUUGUGAAGAAAUAAAUUUAAAUAUAUUUUUCUAACAUACCAUAUUUAAUACUAGUAUGGAAGAAUUUUGAAAAAGUAAUGAAACAGAUUAAAAUACACAGUAUUUUGACUGGAAACCUAAAGCUGAUGUUUGCAAUUACAAAUAAUACUGCAUCUCAAAUAAUAACAUACGUAUAUUGGCAACUAAAUAUUUCAGGGAAUGCUAUGGGGAUGGAUAUAUAUUUUCAGAAAUAUAAUGCAUCAUCUCCAUCACCAUGCUUUUAAGAAACACUCUUCUCUGAAUUCUUGGUAUACCCACUUACCUGUUUCUGUAGAAAUUUCACAAAUCUUAUUUAUUCCUCUUUAGGGUGCUACGUGUGUCUUCACUGUUUUUCUUAACACAGACUAAUGUCAAUUUGUCUGAAGUUUAUUACUACAGAAUUAUCCCCAUGCAAAUUCAUUUGUAGAUAAUUCAUCCCUUUUUGUAUUUUUGCAGCUAUCAAAAAUGAUUAUUACUGGAAUAGAAAAUAAGUUUUUGUGUGGUGAAUUAAACAAGUUAAAAAUUUAAAGAACCCACCGUAUGAGGAAAUCAUUAUAAUGCUUAAGGCAACAGAAUCCAAACAAUAAAAUGCAACCUUCUGGAAAAGAGGGAUUUGGGAGACAGGAUAAAACAAAGGUUCACAAAUGCUGAGUAUGGGAAAAAGGAGAUCCCAUGCUGAUAAAUGAGCAUGAGGGGGCAAAUGUCUUACAAAGCAGUGCACUCAAAGCAAUUUUCAUCAUGCAUGAUGGAUUAACCCAGGAAUAAACUGAGCAAUUUCUCCCCAAACUUGGAAAUAGAUCUGCUUAUUGCCAGUCUAAACUGAACUACCCCUGCUGCCACUCCACCGCACACAAAAGGCGAGGAUCGUGAAGGCUUCCAGGACUGCACAAACUUUCAUGCAAACAGCAGCUUUGCAACUGAAGAAAUGUUCUUCCAGAAGGAAUUAGAUGAAUGAUUCCAAUCACAGACGGAACACUCAGUGAUCUUCAGUGGAAAAACUGGCGUGUGUGGGAAGGGUAACUGUCACUUCCCUAAAACUGUGUUCCCUCUUGUGGGGGCUACAGUUCUCUCUCGUUCUCUUGAACACACACACGUACAUGUUACUAUUUACUAUCGUUUAGUCGUGUCCGACUCUUCAUGACCCCAUGGA